AGCGAACGUUAGCGGCAGGCUUAACACAUGCAAGUCGAGCGAGAAAGGGGGGCAACCCCUGAGUAAAGCGGCGGACGGGUGCGUAACACGUGGAUAAUCUGCCUAGAAGUGGGGAACAACAAUCCGAAAGGAUUGCUAAUGCCGCAUGUCGCGUCGGGGACUCCGGUUCCUGCCGCAAAAGAGGGCGCCGCAAGGGCUCUCGCUUCUAGAUGAGUCCGCGUCCCAUCAGCUAGUUGGCGGGGUAACGGCCCACCAAGGCUUUGACGGGUA
Molecule: ribosomal RNA, 270 nt
Filed under: uncultured bacterium
Lineage: Bacteria
Description: partial 16S ribosomal RNA
Rfam family: Bacterial small subunit ribosomal RNA
Source: RNAcentral